GGUCCUGUAGUUCAACGGAUAGAAUAGAAGUUUCCUAAACUUUAGAUAGGGGUUCGAUUCCCCUCGGGACUAC
This 73-nucleotide transfer RNA is filed under the name Bacteroides sp. RNAcentral describes it as "tRNA-Arg(cct)". It matches the Rfam family "tRNA". From Rfam's summary of the family: Transfer RNA (tRNA) molecules are approximately 80 nucleotides in length. Lineage: Bacteria; Pseudomonadati; Bacteroidota; Bacteroidia; Bacteroidales; Bacteroidaceae. The record is from RNAcentral. RNAcentral also lists the same sequence under 5 other names.